RNAcentral lists this ribosomal RNA (477 nucleotides) under uncultured bacterium. RNAcentral's name for it is "bacterial SSU rRNA". It matches the Rfam family "Bacterial small subunit ribosomal RNA", at positions 332 to 793 of the family's 1533-position model. The record is from RNAcentral.
AUCACUCCUACGGGAGGCAGCAGUGGGAAUUUUGGACAAUGGGGGCAACCCUGAUCCAGCCAUUCCGCGUGAGUGAAGAAGGCCUUCGGGUUGUAAAGCUCUUUCGGCAGGAACGAAACGGUGAGCUCUAACAUAGCUCGCUAAUGACGGUACCUGAAGAAGAAGCACCGGCUAACUACGUGCCAGCAGCCGCGGUAAUACGUAGGGUGCGAGCGUUAAUCGGAAUUACUGGGCGUAAAGCGUGCGCAGGCGUGGUUGUAGUAAGAGCAGGUAGCUGGAAAUUACCCCGGGCUUAACCUGGGAACUGCGCUUGUGACUGCGACGGCUAGAGUAUGGCAGAGGGGGUGGAAUUCCACGUGUAGCAGUGAAAUGCGUAGAGAUGUGGAGGAACACCGAUGGCGAAGGCAGCCCCCUGGGCCAAUACUGACGCUCAUGCACGAAAGCGUGGGGAGCAAACAGGAUUAGAUACCCUGGUAG